Salvia miltiorrhiza (redroot sage) is the source of this 464-nucleotide long non-coding RNA. RefSeq lists it as uncharacterized. NCBI's taxonomy places the organism in Eukaryota, Viridiplantae, Streptophyta, Magnoliopsida, Lamiales, Lamiaceae. The record is from RefSeq and is a predicted model, not a curated record. The transcript is spliced from 3 exons.
UUUUAACUCAAAAGCUUCAACAGCCACCCAAACACAAAGCAAUCACAGGUCAAGCGCGAGAGUAAGAACUACACAAGGAGUUAGAGUACCUUAGCAAAACUUUGCUAUCAGGUCAAGCGCGAGAGUAAGAACUACACAAGGAGUUAGAGUACCUUAGCAAAACUUUGCUAUCAGGUUGAGUUGUGAUGGGCGAUGAAGUGUUGCUGAGUGGAGUUUUUGUUGAACUUAAAGUAGGCUCAGAAAGGAUACAUGUCCUCAUACAUGUAUCUCAGUUAUGCAUUCCGCUGUAAACACUGAUUAUUUCAGUUACACCUUCCGUUGCAAACUCUGAUAAUGUUUUAGCCAAGCCCCUAACGAUGCCUUUUUCCUUUUAAGGAAUAUAACGCGAAUACAAGUUCUUUGAGUACCCUUUUUAUGCGAACUAUGCCUUUUUCCUUUUUAAGGAAUAUUUCACGCGUAUUCAA